Long non-coding RNA from Zalophus californianus (California sea lion), 370 nucleotides. RefSeq lists it as uncharacterized. The transcript has 3 exons. The record is from RefSeq and is a predicted model, not a curated record. NCBI's taxonomy places the organism in Eukaryota, Metazoa, Chordata, Mammalia, Carnivora, Otariidae.
UGUGAUGACAGGUACACCAGGUCCAGGUCUCGGGGGCUCAGAGCAUCACUGGAGUCAUAGUCGCUGUCGGUGGGAAGGAAGACUUCUGAGCAGCCUUCUUCAUCAGAGCAGGGCUGUGAAUCUGCAAAGCCAGAGACCCGGGUUAGAAAAGAAACUCUUAGCCGGGGCGUGCUUCAUGGAGUCAGGUUGUACAUUUCCGUGGGGCAAGGACUGUCUUAAAAAUCCUUUGAAUUUCCCACAGAACUCAGCCCAAGGGUGGCACAGUCUUUGUAAGCAAGACAAAAUCCUAGACGUCAGAGAAGUGACAAAUUUGACUGCAUCACAGUUUAAUACUUUGUAAACCAAAUGAUACUAUAAACAAAGUAAAAAG